UACGUAGGGAGCAAGCGUUGUCCGGAAUCAUUGGGCGUAAAGCGCGCGUAGGUGGCUCCAUAAGUCCGUUGUGAAAGUCAAAGGCUCAACCUUUGAAAGCCGCAUGGAUACUGUGGAGCUAGAGUACGGAAGAGGCGAGUGGAAUUCCUGGUGUAGCGGUGAAAUGCGCAGAUAUCAGGAGGAACACCAAUGGCGAAGGCAGCUCGCUGGGACGUGACUGACGCUGAGACGCGAAAGCGUGGGGGAGCAAACAGG
RNAcentral lists this ribosomal RNA (255 nucleotides) under uncultured bacterium. RNAcentral describes it as "partial 16S ribosomal RNA". It matches the Rfam family "Bacterial small subunit ribosomal RNA", at positions 524 to 776 of the family's 1533-position model. The record is from RNAcentral.